Molecule: non-coding RNA, 179 nt
Filed under: Deltaproteobacteria bacterium
Lineage: Bacteria; Pseudomonadati; Myxococcota; Myxococcia
Description: 6S RNA
Rfam family: 6S / SsrS RNA
About the family: E. coli 6S RNA was the first non coding RNA to be sequenced, but its function was unknown until recently.
Source: RNAcentral
GCACUCCUGCGGUGUUCGAUCAGCCGUCACGCUUCUGAGCCUAUUCACACUUCGGGGUUUGGUUCUUGAGGGCGGUGUGUCUUCCCCCUUGCGGGGCAAGCCUAAAGCCUUUAUACCGGAUCCCACCUGCACAAAGCAGGUUCAGAACUCCCCGGCAAACCGGCACAGGCGGGAGUGUU